GUGGGCCAAUGGCGGAAGGGCAGGUGGGAGCACUGCCUGCCCCACAUCACAGACAGUGAAAAUACAUGAGGAAGUGAAUUAGGAGAGCUUUGAAUACUUGAGCUAGAUCCUGGUGGCAGGUGGGGUCACUGAAGGUCAUUGAGCACACCAGAUAGCGGGUCAGAGCUGCAUGCUACAAGCAGCCAAGCAGCAGAGUGGAGGGUAGAGUGGAGGAAGGAGGCCCAGUGAGGAAAGUAUUAAAAUCGUCUAGGCUGAAGAUAACUGGUUUGAAGUGGGGUGGAGAAGAGAGGAGCAAUGGAGACAGAACACUUGGCACUGUUCCUGAUGGAAGAUUAGUGAGGGAGGGGUCAGGGGUCAGAGGUCAGAGGUCUAGGUCCCCGGCUAGAAGAGGAGGAGCCGUGAAUGAAGCCUGGAAAGCUGAGGAGCUGGUCUGCUGGGUCGUGGAGAGCAUGUGUUCAGUCUUGUUUGAGGUUCCCAUAGGAGGCCUUCGAUAGCAAGAGACAGCCAUCCAGCCCAGAUCAGCUUCCACACAGCAAGGCCUGGGUUAGCCCACAGUGCAGAACGUCCCAGAGCAGGGGCUGUACACACAGCCAGGUCCAGGGGCUCACGGGAUGGCACUGGAAUCUCCUUGUCCCUUUGCCCUGCUCUGUUUUCUGUAUGUUGCUUUCGUCCUGAAGUGGGGUUCCCAGCCGGCACGGCAGCAAUGGUGGCCCAGCAGCUCACCCUCAUAGUCAAUGCUUUGGCAAACUCAGCUGUGAGUUCUAAUGGCAUCAGGAUUGAUUCAUUCUGGCUGGUCUGGGCCACGUGCCCAUCUCUGGGUCACAUGCCAUUUUUGGAGCAGUGGGCCACUCAGAUGUCCCUGAACUGCCUGGACAGAAAGUUGUCCAAGAGGAGAACUUGGGGUGGCUGCCAGGAGGAGAAAGAGAGAGUUUGCAGGGUCCACUACGGGCAUCCAGAUGGGGAUGCCUGUAGCUUAGGGCCGAAUUUGAGUCAUGUGGGAGCUGAAGCUCUAGGAAUGAAUGAGAUCACAAGUGGGAAGGGGUGUGUGUGUGGAGAGAGAGAGAGAGAGAGAGAGAGAGAGAGAGAGAGAGAGAGAGUUAGUUUCAGAAAAAGACACAAUAGACACCCUGGAGAACAAGUCAGAGGAUAGAUAGGAGGAUGAAAAGCUCAGAGAAGUGGUGAGAACAGUACUGCCUCAAAAAGGGGAGGCAGGGUGACCAAGCCCAUCAGGAUGGGGAGCAUGAAGACAAGCUGCAGGGUUUGUGACUUGCUGCCACCCACCCAGCAGGAGGGACGUGGAGGCAGAAACUCGGUGAAAGCAGCUGGGACACGAGUGGAGGUGAAGAUGUGAAGACAACGAGUUUGGCAGAGAAGGAAGGAGUGAGGGCCCCCAGAAGCAGCCACAUAUUCUCCUGUCCCUGGAGCCUUGGGCCACUGUCACAAUGGGUGUGUGCUUGACUGUGUGUGUGCCCUUCAUGUGCCCUACGGCAGGAUCAGUGACAAACGGAGGCCGGCACACACCAGAUGAACCUUCCGUAAGAGCCUUCCCUGCCCAACACCGCCCAUGGCCCCAGAGCUGGGAGAAUGAGCUUUAACCUCCGCCUCCCAAACCUGCCACAGCCCGCAGUGUCCUCUGACGGACCCUCGCUUACGUGACCAGCGCGGCCUCUUGGCAGAUCCUCCCAGGCCAGUCCUGCUGCUUCCACCGCAACCCCUCCUGGAGGCCUUCCCCAACCACCCUUGAAAGAUCACUCACCACUUGCCUCUUACCAUAUGCUGGAAUAUAUUUGUCAUUUUUUUUCUUUUU
Long non-coding RNA from Hipposideros armiger (great roundleaf bat), 1807 nucleotides. RefSeq lists it as uncharacterized. NCBI's taxonomy places the organism in Eukaryota, Metazoa, Chordata, Mammalia, Chiroptera, Hipposideridae. The transcript has 3 exons. The record is from RefSeq and is a predicted model, not a curated record.